RNAcentral lists this ribosomal RNA (76 nucleotides) under Pseudoalteromonas sp. RNAcentral's name for it is "partial 23S ribosomal RNA". The record is from RNAcentral. Lineage: Bacteria; Pseudomonadati; Pseudomonadota; Gammaproteobacteria; Alteromonadales; Pseudoalteromonadaceae.
UGGAAGUGGUGCGAGCCAUUAAGCUAACCUGUACUAAUUACCCGUGAGGCUUAACCAUACAACGCCAAACGCGUUU